GUCAUGGGAUAGCUCAGUCGGUAGAGCAUGAGACUCUUAAUCUCAGGGUCGUGGGUUCAAAUCCCACGUUGGGCA
Non-coding RNA from Podarcis raffonei (Aeolian wall lizard), 75 nucleotides. The record is from the annotation of a RefSeq genome assembly. NCBI's taxonomy places the organism in Eukaryota, Metazoa, Chordata, Lepidosauria, Squamata, Lacertidae.